Molecule: non-coding RNA, 537 nt
Organism: Pristis pectinata (smalltooth sawfish)
Lineage: Eukaryota; Metazoa; Chordata; Chondrichthyes; Rhinopristiformes; Pristidae
Source: the annotation of a RefSeq genome assembly
AUGCGAAUUCUCGUCCUCUGGAUUGUGAGUGGAACUUGUCUGAUAGACUCGAGUCAUGGAGAUUCUGUCACUCAGACGGUGUCCUCAGAAGUGAAGACAGAAGGAGAGGAUGUGACCUUCAGCUGCAGCUAUCAUACUACAAUGAGUAGCUACUAUUUAUAUUGGUACCGGCAACGGUCAGACUCAAGACCUGAGUUCAUACUCUGGAAACAUACAGGUGGAACUGAAGGUAAAGCAGCUUUUGCCAAAAAUCGCUUCACUGUCCAUCUCCGGAAGGAAAGAAAAUUCACCAGUUUGACCAUCUCAUGGCUGCAGCUGAGCGACUCUGCAGUUUAUUACUGCGCCUUAAGCCGCACAAAAGGUAGCAAGAAAAUCUACUUCAGUAUCACCGGGGCUCUUGUGUCGCUCUUUCAGGGUAUCUUUGCGGAUGUGGUCACACGGUUGCAGGGUAAAAGUCACUCAGAGCGCGCUCGCCAGGGGCGCACAUACCCGGGAGGACAUGACAUCAAUUCAGAGUUUUACUUACUGUCCUGCUGA